AUUGAACGCUGGCGGCAGGCCUAACACAUGCAAGUCGAACGAGUGGCGGACGGGUGCGUACUGGUUGGGAAACUGCCCGAUGGAGGGGGAUAACUACUGGAAACGGUAGCUAAUACCGCAUACCAUCGGCUUUCCCCAGGGGGGUUUAGCUUGUAGGUGAGGUAACGGCUCACCUAGGCGACGAUCCCUAGCUGGUCUGAGAGGAUGACCAGCCACACUGGAACUGAGACACGGUCCAGACUCCUACGGGAGGCAGCAGUGGGGAAUAUUGCGCAAUGGGCGCAAGCCUGACACAGCCACGCCGCGUGUAUGAAGAAGGCCUUCGGGUUGUAAAGCACUUUCGGCGGGGAGGCGUUAUCCGAAGAAGAAGCACCGGCUAACUCCGUGCCAGCAGCCGCGGUAAUAC
This 406-nucleotide ribosomal RNA is filed under the name uncultured bacterium. RNAcentral's name for it is "partial 16S ribosomal RNA". It matches the Rfam family "Bacterial small subunit ribosomal RNA", at positions 30 to 526 of the family's 1533-position model. The record is from RNAcentral.